GACGACGAUGACACACCAUCCCCUCCAGCAAUUCAAGAUUUCUUACCUUAUUCUCCUCCUUUCUUACGAUGAAUCAACAGAUUUCAAGAGAUCCUUCACAAGGAUGGAUGAGGGAUAGAGAUUAGAAUGAUAGCAACAAACGAUAGUGGUGGUGGCAGCGUACCAGAUGGGCAUAUGCCUUAUGGAGUUUCAAGAGAGAUGGAUCUUAGCUUAAAGAAUAAGUUCAAAGAAAAUGACAGAGAGACUUCGCUAUGCAAUGCCAUAGAUAGGAUGCUUAAAGAAGAGAGUAAGGAUGAAUUGGUAUAUU
This 307-nucleotide long non-coding RNA is filed under the name Oryza brachyantha (malo sina). RNAcentral's name for it is "long non-coding RNA (OBRA_LNC002822)". Lineage: Eukaryota; Viridiplantae; Streptophyta; Magnoliopsida; Poales; Poaceae. The record is from RNAcentral.